CUGGGUGACACAGCGAGACUCCAUCUCAAAAACAACAACAACAACAACAACAAAAACCCAGCAACGUUGUUCAAAUGUACAGUUGUAUGUUCUGGCUGUCUAACAAUCUAUUGGACAAUCUAUUGGAUCUACUGUAUUUCCAAAGUAUACCUACUACAUCUUUACUCCAGAAACCUCAGCUCUGAGAAUUUUUUGUAUUACCAUGUAGGAUGAUAUCCUGGGCACUAUGGAAGAUAUAAAUAAUUCCCCAAAACAAUACUAUCUACUCUUUGUAAAUCAUUUAGUUCAUUCUUUACUACGUAUUUCCACUGAACUCUUCCACGAUCCUUAGCCCACAAUGACUUCCCCUUCCUCUGAACUUCUCCAACCACUUAAGUGUUGGCUUAAGUACCUAAAGAAAUAAGGGGGUU
This 410-nucleotide long non-coding RNA is filed under the name Homo sapiens (human). Its description in RNAcentral is "HSALNT0361511". Lineage: Eukaryota; Metazoa; Chordata; Mammalia; Primates; Hominidae. The record is from RNAcentral.